Long non-coding RNA from Gallus gallus (chicken), 1094 nucleotides. The record is from Ensembl. Lineage: Eukaryota; Metazoa; Chordata; Aves; Galliformes; Phasianidae.
GGGAGGAGGAGGGGGAAAAGAGUGAAGGGUUGAGAUCCAGGAAGAAGGUAGUGGGAUGAGGAUGUUUAAGAAGGAUGCAGAAUAUGCUCUUCUCAGUUAGUGUACUUGUUCAGUACCUGGAAAAAAGAGACCCCUCUUGUCUUCAAGAGUAACUAACUCACUUUCUAUGUUAUGAUAGUUUACUUCAGGCUGUACAAUUGCUGCAGGACAGAGAAUAUGGAAUACAAGUUAAAAACAUUUGUUCUCUUCUAAAUGAAACACAACAAAAAGAAAGAUUUAAAGUAGGAAAAAUAAGGCAAAUGAAGAGCUGUAGAGACAGAGUAUUCAGCAAAAUGCAGCUUGAGUUGAAAUGCAUCCAUUGGUUGUGUACAGCUGGGGAAGAGUGUAUGGAACAUGGCUAUGGAGGAGCCACUUGCACCCCUCCUAGGAAACCAUUAUGCUUGAUUACCUUUCCAAAAUUUUUAUACACCAGUGUGUACAGCAUAAGGAAUAAACCGGAAGCUCAAGAUCAGUGCAUCCCUAUGAGUAAGAAGUCAAGCAAAGGAGGCAGGAGGUCUGCACAGAUUAGCAAGGAGCUCCUGGCAAAAAAUUAGAAGGAAGUAUACAAAAUGGGGGAAAAAGGGAACUUUGUCAGAGUUUACAGGGAUGUGACAUGGAAGGCUAAGGACCAUCUGGAAUUAAAUCUGGCAAGGAACAUUGAGGACUAUGAGAAGGGCUUCUUCAAACACAUUAGUAGCAAAAGGAAGACUAGGGAAAAUGUGGGCCUGCUGCUGAAAGGAGUGUGUACCCUGGUGAUGAAGGAUACUGAGAAGAUAGUUACAGAAUACCUUUCUUUGCUUCAUCUGUACUGCUAAUGCCAGCUUUCAGGAGUCCCAGGCCCCAGAGACAAGAGAGAAAGGCCGCAGAAAGGAAGACUUUCCCUUGUUUGAGGAGGAUUUGGUUAGACAUCACUUAGGCAAACUUAACACCCACAAAUUUGUGGUUCCUGAUUGGAGUCUCCUUCCCUGGAGCUGUUCAGAGGCCAUCUGAAAGUGAUCCUGUUCAAUGUGCUCCAGGUGAUAUUGAGCAAGGGGGUUGGACUAGAUGAUUUCCAG